RNAcentral lists this ribosomal RNA (462 nucleotides) under uncultured bacterium. RNAcentral describes it as "partial 16S ribosomal RNA". It matches the Rfam family "Bacterial small subunit ribosomal RNA", at positions 28 to 504 of the family's 1533-position model. The record is from RNAcentral.
GACGAACGCUGGCGGCGUGCUUAACACAUGCAAGUCGAACGGAAAGGCCCCUUUGGGGGUACUCGAGUGGCGAACGGGUGAGUAACACGUGAGUAACCUGCCCUUGACUUCGGGAUAACUUCAGGAAACUGGGGCUAAUACCGGAUAGGAAUCCUUGCUGCAUGGUGGGGGUUGGAAAGCUUCGGCGGUUUUGGAUGGACUCGCGGCUUAUCAGCUUGUUGGUGGGGUAGUGGCUUACCAAGGCUUUGACGGGUAGCCGGCCUGAGAGGGCGACCGGCCACAUUGGGACUGAGAUACGGCCCAGACUCCUACGGGAGGCAGCAGUGGGGAAUAUUGCACAAUGGGCGGAAGCCUGAUGCAGCAACGCCGCGUGCGGGAUGACGGCCUUCGGGUUGUAAACCGCUUUCAGCAGGGGCGAAGCUUGUGGUGACGGUACCUGCAGAAGAAGCACCGGCUAACUAC